Molecule: ribosomal RNA, 378 nt
Filed under: Sclerophrys xeros (desert toad)
Lineage: Eukaryota; Metazoa; Chordata; Amphibia; Anura; Bufonidae
Description: partial 12S ribosomal RNA
Rfam family: Bacterial small subunit ribosomal RNA
Source: RNAcentral
GCCCAGCCGUAAACUUUUAUUUACAUCUCAAUCGCCAGGGAACUACGAGCUAAGCUUAAAACCCAAAGGACUUGACGGUACCCCAUAUCCCCCUAGAGGAGCCUGUCCUAUAAUCGAUAAUCCACGUUUAACCUCACCAUUUUUAGUUAAUCAGCCUGUAUACCUCCGUCGUCAGCUUACCACGUGAGCGCCAAUUAGUGAGCUUAAUGUUACUUCACCAACACGUCAGGUCAAGGUGCAGCAAAUGAAAUGGGAAGAGAUGGGCUACACUUUCUAAUGUAGAAGAAACGAAAAACUACCUAUGAAACCUAGUUAGAAGGCGGAUUUAGCAGUAAAAAGAAAUCAUCAUGUUCAUUUUAACUCGGCACUGGGGUGUGU